GAUGUGCACCACCGCGUGGGUCCCCCUUUGGCUUGUUCGGAGGGGGGCUUACGUUUUCACACAAACUUUGUAUGCAGUGUAGAAUGUAUUUUUUGUUUUUGCGAUCACGCAAUCAAUACAACUUUCAACAACGGAUCUCUUGGCUCUCGCAUCGAUGAAGAACGCAGCGAAAUGCGAUACGUAAUGUGAAUUGCAGAAUUCAGUGAAUCAUCGAAUCUUUGAACGCACCUUGCGCCCCUUGGCAUUCCGAGGGGCACACCCGUUUGAGUGUCGUGAAAUUCUCAAAAACCUUUUUCUUUUUGGGAAAGGGUUUUUGGACUUGGAGGCUUUUUGCUGGCUUCACCUUGAAGUGAGCUCCUCCUAAAUGAAUCAGUGGGGUCCGCUUUGCCGAUCCUUGACGUGAUAAGAUGUUUCUGCGUCUUUGGGUUUGGCACUGUCACCUGCUUCUAACUGUCUCAUUGACAAUGAUGGUGCUCCGGUCACCACCGCUCUUAUCGGUGGGAGGCUUGACCCACAAAAACAAAACCUUGACCUCAAAUCGGGUGAGACUACCCGCUGAACUUAAGCAUU
This 570-nucleotide unclassified non-coding RNA is filed under the name uncultured Russula. RNAcentral's name for it is "sequence contains ITS1, 5.8S rRNA gene and ITS2". The stretch from base 120 to 273 matches the Rfam family "5.8S ribosomal RNA". Lineage: Eukaryota; Fungi; Basidiomycota; Agaricomycetes; Russulales; Russulaceae. The record is from RNAcentral.